GAUGAACGCUGGCGGCGUGCUUAACACAUGCAAGUCGAACGGAAAGGCUCCUGCUUGCAGGGGUACUCGAGUGGCGAACGGGUGAGUAACACGUGGGUGAUCUGCCCUGCACUUCGGGAUAAGCCUGGGAAACUGGGUCUAAUACCGGAUAGGACCACAUUUGGGAUGGGGGGGUGGACAGUUUUUCGGUGUGGGAUGAGCUCGCGGCCUAUCAGCUUGUUGGUGGGGUAAUGGCCUACCAAGGCGUCGACGGGUAGCCGGCCUGAGAGGGUGUACGGCCCCAUUGGGCCUGAGAUACGGCCCAGACUCCUACGGGAGGCAGCAGUGGGGAAUAUUGCACAAUGGGCGCAAGCCUGAUGCAGCGACGCCGCGUGGGUGAUGACGGCCUUCGGGUUGUAAACUCCUUUCGCUAGGGACGAAGCGCAAGUGACGGUACCUGGAGAAGAAGCACCGGCUAACUACGUG
This 465-nucleotide ribosomal RNA is filed under the name uncultured bacterium. RNAcentral's name for it is "partial 16S ribosomal RNA". It matches the Rfam family "Bacterial small subunit ribosomal RNA", at positions 28 to 507 of the family's 1533-position model. The record is from RNAcentral.